UGACAGGAAUUUGAGUUUUAAUGAUAUCAAAGAAAUGAAGGCAGAAAUAUUCCAAAAUCUCUCCAGUUUAACAACUCUGUUUUUAAGUGAAAAUAAGCUGAAGGAAAUCAAUGGAGAAACAUUCCAAAAUCUUUCUAAGUUGACAACUCUGUAUUUGGGUGGUAAUGAAAUGAAGGAAAUCAAUGGAGAAUUAUUCCAAUACCUUUCAGGCUUAAAAAUUCUGUAUCUGGAUAACAAUAACAUGACGUAUAUUCAACGUGGUGUCUUUGAAAAUCUUCCGAAUUUAGAGAAAUUAUAUUUGAAUGAAAAUAAUAUCAAGAAAAUUCAAAUAGGAUCCUUCGAUGAUCUGCGCAAUUUAAAAUAUCUAUAUUUGCAGAACAACCAAAUACAAAUCUCUGAGAAUGGCGCGUUCUUAUUCCUUCCCCGUAUUAUUUACAUUGACCUCAGAAAUAAUAAAGAUAUGAUGUGUGGAUGUCAUCUGCCAGCCUUGGUAAAUUAUGCGAAAACAACGUUCAACAGACCUAUGAAGGUCGAGGGCGAGUGUCAGGCAGAUAUUGGCAAUAACCAAACCAAAGUAAUACCUAUAAUGGAAUACUCACAAUGUAAAAAUUACUCGUUAUUUCAACGGAAUUUGCAGUGUCAAACAUGUUCAGGUAUUACGUGCAAGGAAUCGGAAGUGACAAACUGUACAGGCGAUGAGCCUGUAUGCCAAUUUAAAUUAUCAAUGGAUGGCAUUAAACUGAAGUUUGAAAAAUCCUGCAGCACAUUCAGAAAAUGUGAUGAUGCUAUGAAAAACAACACCCUUACAUGCAAUGAAUUGACAAGUGGCUCUACCUGCGUUGCUUGCUGCAUCGGAAACUUAUGUAACAAGAAGGAUUUCAUAGGCUGGAGCAAUUCCUUUGUAUUUCCUCUGAUUUCCAGUUCGACGUUUAAAUUCAAGGAAAAUGAAAGUCUUGCUGAAAACAUAUCCAGAGCUAUGGAGCAUGAAUUAUCAAACUUGACUGGAAAUUUCGAAGUGCAGUAUUGCGGUUCAGCUACGAUGAUAGGGAAGUAUUUACUAUUACUUGCACAGUACCACGUACAAUUACUAAAGACCAAAUAUUUAAACAAAUUUCCGAAAUUUUUAAGACAUCACAGAUUUUGCGUGACUUGGGAUUGCAACAACAGAACAUGGAGUUAUUUGAUGAAAUGGUUUGUAAUGAAAACACUACAGCAACUAGCAAUGGCACUUUCCAUUGGCCAAUGACAAAAGUAGGGACUAAUGUGACGAUCCCAUGCCAUGCAAAUGUAGCAACAAGACACUGGUUCUCAAUAUGUGAAAUCACCAAAAUGUUCACCAUUCACUGGUGUCUGGAAAGAACCAGACAUGUCUCAGUGUUACAAUACAGAGGGGAUCACUCAACAACUAGAAAACAUCACAAGUGAA
This 1426-nucleotide unclassified non-coding RNA is filed under the name Octopus sinensis (East Asian common octopus). RNAcentral's name for it is "sLIT and NTRK-like protein 4, transcript variant X1". Lineage: Eukaryota; Metazoa; Mollusca; Cephalopoda; Octopoda; Octopodidae. The record is from RNAcentral.